AAAGGAACAAAUAAGGGCGUAUGGUGGAUGCCUUGGCUUAAAAAGGCGAUGAAAGACGCGGCGUGGCGGCGAUAUGCUUCGGGGAGGUGCCAAGCAACCUUCGAUCCGGAGAUCUCUGAAUGAGGAAACUCUGUAGAAAGAAAUUUCUAUAACCUUGCAGCAAUGUAAGGAGCGUACCCUGGGAAGUGAAACAUCUCAGUACCAGGAGGAAAAGAAACCAAUAGGUAUUUCGUUAGUAGCGGCGAGCGAAAGCGAAUGCAGCCCAAACCGUUGAGUUUCUCAGACUAUCUGAUUACCUUUAUUGGCAAUCGAAUAGUCCGAGAAAUUCGCGGGGUCAUAAGGCAGUUAUAGUGCACUCGAUGCACAAAAAGUUACAAAUUGUUGCGAUAGCCGAAGCUGCUGGGAUGCAGCGCCCUAGAAGGUGAAAGCCCCGUAGGCGAAAUCAAAACAACUUUUUAAUUGUCCUUGAGUAACUCAAGACACGAAUGGCUUGAGCGAAUGUGCCGGAACUAACCGGUAAGGCUAAAUACUUUUUAAGACCGAUAGUGAACAAGUACCGUGAGGGAAAGGUGAAAAGAACCCCGGUGAGGGGAGUGAAAUAGAUCUGAAACCAUAUGUCUACAAGGAGUCGAAGAGGCGCAAGCCUCGACGGCGUGCCUAUUGAAGAAUGAGCCUGCGAGUUUAUGUAUGCUGCAUAUGACUAAGCGCGAUGAGCGUGGAGUCGAAGGGAAACCAAGUGUGAAUAGCGCGUUCGUAGCAUGCAUAAGACCCGAAGCCAGGUGAGCUACCCAUGAGCAGGGUGAAGUUCUGAGAAAUCAGGAUGGAGGCCCGAACCGUUGAGCCGUUCAAAACUCUCGGAUGACUUGUGGGUUGGAGUGAAAAGCUAAUCGAACCUGGUAAUAGCUGGUUCUCUCUGAAACAGCUUUUGGGCUGGCGUCGCAUCAAUUGACAGACGGGGGUAGAGCACUGGAAGGAUUCGACAGGGAGCAAUCUCGCGAAUCCUAUCAAACUCCGAAUACCGUUUGUGCUAUGCGGCAGUUAGUACGUGGGGGCUAAGCUCCACCGUACAAAAGGAGAAGAGUCCUAGAUCUCCAGUUAAGGUCCCAAAAUUAACGUUAAGUGCAUCACAAGGAGGUGGAAUUUCAUUGACAAUGAGGAGGUUGGCUUAGAAGCAGCCAUCCUUGAAAGAAAGCGUAACAGCUCACUCAUCGAGAGAUUCUGCGCCAAAGAUAAUCGGGGCUAAAACGUUAUACCGAAACUGAGGGCUCGCGUGUUCUUCGGAACGCGUGAGCGGUAAGAGAGCAUUCGCAUCUGCGAUGAAGCUAAAGGGGCGACCCAUAGUGGAGCGUUGCGAAGUGAGAAUGCAGGCACAAGUAACCGCAAUGCGGGUGAGAUCCCCGCACGUCGAAAGUACAAGGUUUCCUUGGCGAUGGUGAUCAGCCAAGGGUUAGUCGGGCCUAAGGGUAUGGCGAAAGCCGCACCCGAUGGACAUAGGGUUAAUAUUCCCUAACCGGCAUGCAUGUGAUGGAGGGACGGAGGAAAUAAAUUGUCGCGCCUUAUUGGAUUGGCGUCUCUGUUUUCAAGAUAGGUAUCCCAGGCAAAUCCGGGAUGCUGCUUUAAUGCAACUAUCGAAUUAUGGAGGACAUCCUAGGCUUCGGCCGAAAGAGAUGACAGUGAAGAGCCUUUCAAGAAAAACUUCUAAACUUAAAUGCAUGUACGUCCGUACCGCAAACCGACACAGGUGUACAGCUCGAGUAGAGCAAGACGAACGAGUGAGUGUGCUCCAAGGAACUCGGCAAAAAAUCGGCCGUACCUUCGGAAUAAGGCCUGCCCCCGUAGCAAUACUGGGGGCCGCAGCGAAAGUAUCCCUGGCGACUGUUUACCAAAAACACAGCUCCCUGCGAACUCGUAAGAGGAUGUAUAGGGGGUGACACUUGACCAAUGCCAGAAGGUCAAAUACGGGCGUUGAUAUGUCGCAAGAUGUAUUGGUGACUUGUAUAAGCCCUGGUGAAUGUCGGCGAUAACUAUAAUCGUCCUAAGGUAGCGAAAUUCCUUGUCUGGUAAGUUCAGACGCGCACGAAUAGUGUAACGACUGGGGA
Non-coding RNA from Candidatus Adlerbacteria bacterium, 2099 nucleotides. The record is from Rfam. Lineage: Bacteria; Candidatus Adleribacteriota.